GACGAACGCUGGCGGCGUGCCUAAUACAUGCAAGUAGAACGCACAGUUUAUACCGUAGCUUGCUACACCAUAGACUGUGAGUUGCGAACGGGUGAGUAACGCGUAGGUAACCUGCCUGGUAGCGGGGGAUAACUAUUGGAAACGAUAGCUAAUACCGCAUAAUAUUAAUUAUUGCAUGAUAAUUAAUUGAAAGGUGCAAUUGCACCACUACCAGAUGGACCUGCGUUGUAUUAGCUAGUAGGUGAGGUAACGGCUCACCUAGGCGACGAUACAUAGCCGACCUGAGAGGGUGAUCGGCCACACUGGGACUGAGACACGGCCCAGACUCCUACGGGAGGCAGCAGUAGGGAAUCUUCGGCAAUGGACGAAAGUCUGACCGAGCAACGCCGCGUGAGUGAAGAAGGUUUUCGGAUCGUAAAGCUCUGUUGUAAGAGAAGAACGGGUGUGAGAGUGGAAAGUUCACACUGUGACGGUAUCUUACCAGAAAGGGACGGCUAACUACGUGCCAGCAGCCGCGGUAAUACGUAGGUCCCGAGCGUUGUCCGGAUUUAUUGGGCGUAAAGCGAGCGCAGGCGGUUAGAUAAGUCUGAAGUUAAAGGCUGUGGCUUAACCAUAGUACGCUUUGGAAACUGUUUAACUUGAGUGCAGAAGGGGAGAGUGGAAUUCCAUGUGUAGCGGUGAAAUGCGUAGAUAUAUGGAGGAACACCGGUGGCGAAAGCGGCUCUCUGGUCUGUAACUGACUCUGAGCUCGAAAGCGUGGGGGAGCGAACAGGAUAUAUACCCUGGUAGUCCCAGGGCGAAUUCCACAGUGGAUAUCAGCUUAUCGUACCGGCGACCUCGAGGGGGGGCCCGGUACCCAGCUUUUGUUCCCUUGAGUGAGGGGUUAUUAUG
Molecule: ribosomal RNA, 891 nt
Filed under: uncultured Streptococcus sp.
Lineage: Bacteria; Bacillati; Bacillota; Bacilli; Lactobacillales; Streptococcaceae
Description: bacterial SSU rRNA
Rfam family: Bacterial small subunit ribosomal RNA
Source: RNAcentral